Long non-coding RNA from Triticum aestivum (bread wheat), 787 nucleotides. RefSeq lists it as uncharacterized. The transcript has 2 exons. Lineage: Eukaryota; Viridiplantae; Streptophyta; Magnoliopsida; Poales; Poaceae. The record is from RefSeq and is a predicted model, not a curated record.
GACAUCUGAUCUCGAAAUUGAAUAAUGUUGUUCAUGUUCUGAAAGUACUUGGCAGUUUUACGGCUACUUCAAAAAAUUUAUCACCUUUUGAAAGCCUUGUAUUACUUAAGCUUUAUCAAGCACAAAAAGAUAGGCCAUGUUGUUUCCUUCACAAUAUUAAUUAUAAUGUUAAAUGUAUUAUAUAUCUAGAUGACUGUUAGGACUGAAGUUCGAGAGACACUGGGUCCAUUUUAUGCCACACAAGUAAACCCCAAUGUAUCCACACAUACAGUGUAAACAUGAACUCCUGGAGUUAUCAGGUUGCCGUUGCAGUUAACACUUUAGUUGUCUUUUUCUCUUUAUUUGCUUCAAGGACCACUGAGAGUAGUGCACUUAGUUACUUCCUGGUCCUCUUGUUGGUGGAAGUGUUACAUCAAAGAAUGUAAACAAAGGGGCUCGAUGAGAUGACUACAUGGUAUGAAUCUUCCACGAGUGAAUACCACAAGUUGCUUAUCUCCCUGUUGAAGAUACUGUGUCAGCAAAAUGGGAAAGUACUCGCACCUUUUGGGUCUGACUCAUCACAAGAGGAGAGGAUGAUCUGAAACUGGAUGCACACGCGCAUGGCACCUAAAACUAGGCAGAGGGUCAGCUUCAGUCCAGGGCACAGUGCAGUCAGCCAGCCAGACUUCCAAAGUUUUCGAUUUUGAUUUUGAUUUUGAUUUUGAUUUGCUUGCGGGAUUAUUGAGAGCAGUUUAAUUUUGAGCUGAGAAGAUGGCACCCAAUAUAUAUGUUCAGAUAAUUUACUUUA